This 710-nucleotide ribosomal RNA is filed under the name Kaempferia elegans. Its description in RNAcentral is "eukaryotic LSU rRNA". The stretch from base 339 to 500 matches the Rfam family "5.8S ribosomal RNA". Lineage: Eukaryota; Viridiplantae; Streptophyta; Magnoliopsida; Zingiberales; Zingiberaceae. The record is from RNAcentral.
ACAAAGUUAACGUGUCUUACCUAGGUUUGCGUAGGGAACCGUCUGUUGAAAGAGCGUGCUUGAAUAUAAUUGAAGUGAUGGAUUGGAGGUUAACGAUUGUGUCGCUUUCUUUUCUUUCCUAUCCUAUCCUAUCCCUAUCUAACUUCCAUCCCUUCCAUGCCAUGCCAUGUCGUGUGUGUUGGUGGGCUAUCGAUCGACUCGAUUGAGCGCUAGUUCGGUGCGAUGAGCACUAAGGAACAAUGAACUCGGACGCCGCGGGCCCGCCCCUUCAUCGUGCGUGCCCCAAGGGGAGCCCAAUGCGCCAGAGAUUCUUCGGAAUCCAUCCAUCCAAAUCAAAUGACUCUCAGUCAAUUGACUAUCUUGGCUCUUGCUCUCGCUUAAGAACGUUGUGAAAUGCGAUACUUUGUGUGAAUUGCAGAAUCUUGUGAACCCUUUAGUCCUUUGAACGCCAGUUGUGGCCCGAUGCCUUCUGGCCGAGGGCAGCGCCUGCUUGGGCGUCCUUGCAUUUCCGGCCUUUGCUCCCUUUUGGUGCAUAGCGGCGUCAAAUUGGCCCCGUUUGGCCUCGGGCACCGUCGGUCGCAGAGCGGUGUAGCCAUCGGCAUUCGUCGGGCUCGAUGGGUGUUGGUCGACCGUUAGUCGGGAACGAGACACAUUCGCUCCCCGUCGUUUCGGGAUGAUUCCUCAAGAGUCCCUGUGUGAUUGUUCUGUCG